GCACUCUUGGGAUUUCCUGAGAGUAUGUCUGCUUCAGUG
This 39-nucleotide ribosomal RNA is filed under the name Symbiodinium sp. A1. RNAcentral describes it as "partial 5.8S ribosomal RNA". Lineage: Eukaryota; Dinophyceae; Suessiales; Symbiodiniaceae. The record is from RNAcentral. RNAcentral also lists the same sequence under 2 other names.